CCGGCGGCGCCGCUGGGUCUUUUGCUCUGGCGGGAGGUCUGGCCCCGAACCAGGGUCUCCUCCGGUAGGGCAGCGAGCAGCCCCGUUUUUCUUUCCCCGGCGAAAUCUAGGAUUUUUAAAUCACAGGAACAUAGACACCUACGCGCUAGCUGCCCAACCCAAACUCGCUGGGUAUGUCCUAAACCUAAUCACUUCUGGGAUAUAAAAAGAGCCGAUUAGGUGCACAAGGAAACACAGAUGAAGGGAAUACAUGUCACAUGAAGAUCAUCAAGGAACUGAGGAAUGCUGGGGCUACAGAAGUUGAAAAAGACAAGACUCUUCCCCCAGAGCCCACAGAGAGAGAGCCUUCCCCUCGAGCCAGUGCCCUGAAUUCAGACUUCCAGCCUCCUCAAUGGAUUCCCUAGGCGGCACAAACUGUUAAUGCUCUCAGUGGUUAACUGAAAGGUUGGAGGUUUGAAUCCACCCAGAGUCACCUUGGAAGAAAGGUCUGGCAAUCUACUGAAAAAUUAACCAUUGAAAACCCUGUGGAGCACAGCUCUACCCUGACACACGUGGGGGUCAGAAUCAACUUCAUGGCAACUGGUGGUUAUAUGCGUACAGUGAUUCCAUUUUCAUAUGAUACGUAACGGAAAGUGCAGCUGCUUCUACUCCUGCUGAACUGAACUUCUUUGUUCUCUCCAAAUGCCCUAGGGUCCUUGCAGCUAGGGGAUGGCCAUGUGAACCCAGGUUGGCAAAUGAGGCGCAAGGAGACAUAAGGAAGUAGCAAAACAGUUGGGGGAGGUUGAGGAAUACUCUUCUUUCCUGACCAAAGGGGAUGAAGCAGGUGGUAUGGCCCUUCCCUUCCCCCCUUUCUCCUUUCUUCCUUGGAUGCACAGGAUGAAGCUGUAGCAGCUGUUCUGUGACUAUGAAGAAACCCCAAGAGAAAUGCAGAGAGAGACUUAGUCCUGAUGUCAUUGAAACACAGAGCCAUCACCAGCAAUCACCCACCUCCAUAACUUUUGCUAUGUUAGAAAAAUAAAAUCCCUGCUUGUUUAAGUCAUUGAAGUUGGGUGUUUUUAUACUUGCAGUCAAACGCAUCUUUAACCUGUAUCCUUUAGCAAAUAUUAUUUUUAAUGGUGUUACUACAGUCCAAAAAAGAGUUAGAAACCUCUAUUAGAGGCUGGCCUUCAAGUAUUGUUUUCGAAAUUGCCUCAGCAGCAGGCAACAUGCCCAAGGGUUAGCUUUGGUUUUUCAGAAUAGCCAAAAGUCACUUGGAGUCCAGUCUAGUAAUACCCUUAGCCCUCAGUAUUGCCAUAAAGCAUUGCAUAGUGGACAGUUAGU
Molecule: long non-coding RNA, 1320 nt
Organism: Loxodonta africana (African savanna elephant)
Lineage: Eukaryota; Metazoa; Chordata; Mammalia; Proboscidea; Elephantidae
Exons: 3
Source: RefSeq, a predicted model, not a curated record